UCACAAACAAAACAAUGCAGAAAGAUGUUCAUUGAGUAUAAGCCCUACGUGGCUCCAGGACAGGACAUUCAACAUUGUUAGGUGAAAGUGUUGAUAUUUGUUUGAGUGAAAAAGGUGGAACUAACUGUUGGCAUAGCUUUUGGUUCUGCUUAAGAGUUUUAUUUUUUCUAUGUUUGUCUUUCAAUUUUAAGCUAAUUUCCCCAAUUAUUUUUUCUUAGUCAGAUAAAGAACCUAACUCUAUGCAACAUAUGUAGAUAUUUUUUGGUUGGAAAAGUUAUUGCUAUUGUCUUCUCUAAUCCUUAUCAUUUCCUACUUGCAAAUUUUUAUUAACAGACAACUUUGUGGUAUCCUAACAGGUGGUGUAUUUGCAUUACCUGAAUAUCAAUUUCGCAUAUCUCACAUUAUUUUUGAGAAGCAAGUGAAAAGCAAUACAGAUGAUUUCUGUGUUACAGAAAUCAGUGGGUUUUUCUCUGUUCUUCAGCGAUUCAUGUCAUGGUGAUCAUCGGUACUAUACCAUCCUUCAUUUUAAUCCGCUGGGGACGAAGACAAGUGCUUAUAGGGGGAGCAAUCUUCCUCUUAAUUGGACAAGUACUUAUUUCAUGGUUCCCGCACUUAUACGUAGAGAUCAUUGGCAUACUAUUAUGCGGAUGUGGAAUGGGAUUCUUAUAUCAGGUGAUUCCUACUAUACACUCAGAAACUGCUCCAAAAGACUCAUAUUAUACCAUAUCAAUGGUUUUUGGAUGGCCACAGACGUUGGGUACCAUUUUAGCAGCAGCAAUAAAUUAUAUAGCAUCUUACUUCCACGUUUGGGGAUGGAGGAUGUCACUGGGAGCAGGAGGAAUUCCUACUAUCAUUCUCCUUGUUGUAUCGUGCACUCUGAUUGAGACUCCUCGAUUCUUCAUUGAGUGAGGCAAUCUUGAGAAAGCUAAGAAGAUCUUACGAUCGCUAAGAGGAUCGACCACAAAUGUCGAGUUCACAGAAUCCGACAUAAAGGUCGAGUUCACAGAAUUAGUGGCAUUCACAAAGAAAAAACAACCAAUAGAGGCUCUGCGAGAAAUUAUAAGACCUCGCAACUGUCCCGUUUUGGUGAUCAGCAGCAUUGAGUCCGUAUUUGAAGAAUUUUCUAGUGGAGACUUGUUGACUUUUUAUGGUCCUUUUCUCCUUCAGUCUAUUGGCUAUACGCGACACGAAUCAUUUUUUGCUGCUUUGGUUGUUGCAUUUGUGGACCUAAUAGCUAAAGCGAUUAGCCCACUUCUUAUUGCACGUUUUGGGAGGAGGAAAGUAUUUUUGAUAGCAUAUUUAACCGCAAUUAUCCCACUGGUAUGUCUACUAAUUAGUCUAUCAUAUAAACAAUUAUUAUAAUCGUUUUGAGUUUUUUAAUUAUUUAUGUUUAUCAUCUAUUUAUCCUUUAUGUGCAACUGCAGGUUUGCGUUGGCAUUCUCUUUCAUUUGAAUCCAAACGCACAUCAUCAUUUCAAACCUCACAGAGCUAACAUGACCAUUGUUUUUGUGUUAUUACACAUAGUUGGAAGUGGUGUUAUAUCUGGACCAGACGGAUGGCUUAGUUCAACAUUUCCACCAGAGUGUGACGACCUUGCAUCGGCGUACAAUCUCUGUUUAGAAAUGUUAACAACUUUUAUUAUAAAUCAGAUAUUCUUUCACCUCCUUUCCACAUUAAGACAAUGGACUUUCUUUCUUUAUGCCACACUAUGCAUUACCAUGAUGUUCUUCAACCUAGCGUUUGUUCCAGAAACGUCUGACAGAGAACAACAUGAAUUGGGUUAAAGGGUAUGGAGCCAUCAUUGGUUUUGGAAGCGGUAUAUGUCCAAUUCCAAUUCAGAUGAACAUAUCAUUUAUCUUAUAUCGUCGAAAUUGGACAUAUACCGCUUUUAAAACCAAUGAUGGCUCCAUAUCCUUUGAGCCAAUGCAUGUUAUUCUAUGCCAGACGUUUCUAUAACGAACGCUAAGUUGAAGAGCAUCAUAGUAAGGCAUAGUGCAAAGUAAAGAAAGAAAGUCCAUUCCAUUAAUGUGCAUAGGAGGUGAAAAAACAUUUGAUUUAUAAUAAAAGUUGUUAGUUUUUCUAAACAGAAAUUGUACGAUAAUGCAAGAUCGUCGCACUCUGGUGGAAAUGUUGAAUUAAGUCAACCGUUUGGUCCAAAUAUAACACCACUUCCAUUUAUGUGUAAUAACACAAAAACAAUGGUCAUGGUAGCUCUGCGAGGUUUGAAAUGAUGAUGCGCGUCUGGAUUCAAAUGAAACCGAAUCCCAACGCAAACCUAUAAUUGCACAUAAAGAUAAAUAUAUAGUAAACAUAAAUAAUUAAAAAAUUCAAAACGAUUCUAAUAAUUAUUUAUAUGUUAGACUAAUUAGUAGACAUACUAGUGGAAUAAUUGCGCUUAAAUAUGCCAUAAAAAAUACUUUCCUCUUCCUAAAACGUCCAAUAAGAAAUGGGCUAACCAAUUUAGUUAUUAGGUCCACAAACGCAACAAUCAAAGUAGCAAGAAACGACUCAUGUCACUCAUAGCCAAUAGA
Non-coding RNA from Sesamum indicum (sesame), 2531 nucleotides. Lineage: Eukaryota; Viridiplantae; Streptophyta; Magnoliopsida; Lamiales; Pedaliaceae. The record is from RefSeq and is a predicted model, not a curated record.